AGAGUUUGAUCCUGGCUCAGAACGAACGCUGGCGGCAUGCCUAACACAUGCAAGUCGAACGAGGGCUUCGGCCCUAGUGGCGCACGGGUGAGUAACGCGUGGGAACCUGCCCUGUGGUACGGAAUAACUCCGGGAAACUGGAGCUAAUACCGUAUGCGUCCUUUGGGACAAAGAUUUAUCGCCAUGGGAUGGGCCCGCGUAGGGAUUAGCUUGUUGGUGGGGUAACGGCCUACCAAGGCUUCGAUCCUUAGCUGGUCUGAGAGGAUGAUCAGCCACACUGGGACUGAGACACGGCCCAGACUCCUACGGGAGGCAGCAGUGGGGAAUAUUGGACAAUGGGCGCAAGCCUGAUCCAGCAAUGCCGCGUGAGUGAUGAAGGCCUUCGGGUUGUAAAGCUCUUUCGCACGCGACGAUGAUGACGGUAGCGUGAGAAGAAGCCCCGGCUAACUUCGUGCCAGCAGCCGCGGUAAUACGAAGGGGGCUAGCGUUGUUCGGAAUUACUGGGCGUAAAGGGCGCGUAGGCGGUACUUCAAGUCAGGCGUGAAAGCCCCGGGCUCAACCUGGGAACCGCGCUUGAGACUGGGGAACUAGAGUUCGGGAGAGGAUGGUGGAAUUCCCAGUGUAGAGGUGAAAUUCGUAGAUAUUGGGAAGAACACCGAUGGCGAAGGCAGCCAUCUGGACCGACACUGACGCUGAGGCGCGAAAGCGUGGGGAGCAAACAGGAUUAGAUACCCUAGUAGUCC
RNAcentral lists this ribosomal RNA (743 nucleotides) under uncultured bacterium. Its description in RNAcentral is "bacterial SSU rRNA". It matches the Rfam family "Bacterial small subunit ribosomal RNA", at positions 8 to 796 of the family's 1533-position model. The record is from RNAcentral.